AGGCUUUGAUCCUGGCUCAGAUUGAACGCUGGCGGCAUGCUUUACACAUGCAAGUCGAACGGUAACAGGCCGCAAGGUGCUGACGAGUGGCGAACGGGUGAGUAAUGCAUCGGAACGUGCCCAGUCGUGGGGGAUAACGCAGCGAAAGCUGUGCUAAUACCGCAUACGAUCUAUGGAUGAAAGCGGGGGACCGUAAGGCCUCGCGCGAUUGGAGCGGCCGAUGUCAGAUUAGGUAGUUGGUGGGGUAAAGGCUCACCAAGCCAACGAUCUGUAGCUGGUCUGAGAGGACGACCAGCCACACUGGGACUGAGACACGGCCCAGACUCCUACGGGAGGCAGCAGUGGGGAAUCUUAGACAAUGGGGGAAACCCUGAUCUAGCCAUGCCGCGUGAUCGAUGAAGGCCUUAGGGUUGUAAAGAUCUUUCAGCUGGGAAGAUAAUGACGGUACCAUGCAGAAGAAGCCCCGGGGUAACAUCCGU
Molecule: ribosomal RNA, 479 nt
Filed under: uncultured Hydrogenophaga sp.
Lineage: Bacteria; Pseudomonadati; Pseudomonadota; Betaproteobacteria; Burkholderiales; Comamonadaceae
Description: bacterial SSU rRNA
Rfam family: Bacterial small subunit ribosomal RNA
Source: RNAcentral